Quercus robur (English oak) is the source of this 1927-nucleotide long non-coding RNA. RefSeq lists it as uncharacterized. The record is from RefSeq and is a predicted model, not a curated record. NCBI's taxonomy places the organism in Eukaryota, Viridiplantae, Streptophyta, Magnoliopsida, Fagales, Fagaceae. The transcript is spliced from 2 exons.
AGAAGCUCUCUCCCUCUCUAUUCCCACGGGUCCACAUGAAUCUGAAUUCUCACCUCACUUUGCUCUCUUUUUCUCUUAAGGAAAGAGCUAGAAGCUCUCUUGAGUCUUCUCUCAAACCCACGGGUCAACACCUCAAAAGGAAAAUAAAACUCCAUCUCAUUUCUUCUUCAUACUUUCUCAAAGAAACUAGAAAACUCAAAUACUCUCUCAAGCUCUCUACCUUUCAUACUUUCGGGUCUAGCCACUAGGAAAGGGAAAUCCUUUCAUGCCAGAGUGAUUCUAUGUCUAUUUCCCCUCAAGAACCAUAAACUUGGGGCCUUUUUUUUACUUGGGGCCUUAGGCGGUUGCAUUUUUUGCUCCACCAUAGAGCCGGCCCUGCUCGGUUCCUCUGCUUUCAGGUAAGGGAUAAGUUAUAUAAGCAUUUCGUAAGUUAUGAGGUUAUUUUAAAGUAUAUUAUGCAUUUAAAGGUUUUUUUUAUUAUUAGAGAUAUGGCAUAUAAUCAUGUUUCAGACAAAGGUAUGUUCGAGAGUUCUCAAAACCUUAUGUAUAUGAUUUAAUCAUAUUGAUGCUAUUACUAAUUCCACAAACAUGAUGUUUAAAGAAAACAAUGGAAAUGCCUUUAUUAUGAAAUGUUAUGCAAAUUAUGAAUUUCAGUAUGAUGUAUAAGUAUGAAAUGUUUUCGGGUUAUGUCCUCUGGUAAUCUGAACUCGGCCAGUUAGGGUUAAAUUACUGACUUUCCAUGGAAAAUGUUAUCUGUUUGGCCAUUUAAAGUAGAGGAAACGGGGCUGUCCGUAACUCUAGGCCAUUUAAAGUAGAGGAAAUGAGGCUACUCGUAACUCUAAUUUGAACAAGGCCUUCUCUCCAAUAUGUACGGACAGUGGGGAGGAACAAAAUCUUUAGGGGAUGUGCCAUCAGACCUCCCAAAGAGGACAAUAUCAUGCACACGAGGGCACCCAAAUGUGGUGAGGUCUUCUCUGUAUAAACUUAUCAGAUAUGGACUAACCAAUAUGUUAUGAACAACUAUAUUAUGUUAUUGAUCAUGAGAAAAUGAUUUUAUUUAAAUGCAUUAUGAAAAGUUGAAAGCUCUCAUGAAAAUAAAAAGUUUAUGAUGAAAAGAAAAGCUGUUCUUUAAAGAUAAAGUUUUUGAAAUUUUGUUGUGCUUUAAAGAUAAAACUUCUGAUGAAAGUAUAAGUUUAUGUUAAAAAGUUAUCAAAUAUCUGUUCUUAUGAAAUGCUAAGUUUUAUGACUAUGAAAGUUAUAAUAUUUUACGAGAAGAAGUUUAUGAAGAAAAGUUUUGUUAUUCUUUAAGAUGUUUCUAGUUUAAGACAAAGUUACCAAUUACCUGAUUUACGUUAAAAUGAUUAUUUUGUAAUGAGAAUAUAUAUAUAUAUAUAUGUAUGUAUGUAUGUAUGUAUAUGAUUUUGAAUAAUCAAUAUCAUAUUUAGUGACUUUGUAAGAAAUGAAGAAGUUCAAUCUGAAGGUUUUGAUAAUAUUAUUCUGAUAAGAAAAAGGAGAACAAUUAUUUUCCUAUGAAGAGCGUGUAAGUUAUUAUUAUGAAUAGUAUAAAAUACUAUGCAUGAAAAUAUAUUCUCCUAUCUACACAUUUAUAAAAUAAAAUGGUUUGAUUUACAUGCAUUCUUAUUAAAUUCUCAUGUAUCUUACCUUUACUAAGCUGUGUAGCUCAUCUCUUUCACUUUUUCAGUCAACAGGUUUUAUGUUGGAGUAGAGGGAGCCUUAGUUGAGUUUUGGAAGGAGCUGGUUUUAGUUUUAAAAUUAUAAAUCUCAAAUUAACAAUUUGAUGUUUAGCUUUGUAGUAUUGUGUAUUUUAGGAUCUAAUGAAAGUGGUGUACCUUAAAGUAUUAAAAGAUGUAUUAUGUGAAAUUUAGAAUUUGAGUAACUGGUGGAUUAUAUUAUUCUUUGGGUACAA